GUGUCGCCAAGGCUAUCCGACUUACCACUCACCAUAUCGCCAGUUAUCUUUGCUCUGCUCUAUGUCAUGCCGCUGCAGUUCCCCGAUCUCCUACUUACUAGCGUCGCCAUCCAGGUAGUUUGGUGGGGAUUGGGGGUGUCACUGGGCGUCCAGAUGAUAAGAUCCCACCGUGAGCUGGUGCUCUGCUCCUCGCCGCUGGUGGUCGUGCUACAUCGACGUGUAGUUCGUGGGCUGUGUCGUGCGCUUCGCCGGGCCAUGGAGUGUGGUAUACCUGUUGUUGAUGUUUAUGACCGAUGUGUAGCACUGAGCCCUGCUAGGCACUUAAUUACACUGUUGAAUUUUGCACUUAAUGUUUUUCAUUUAUGUAAGUUUAUUCCCUUCGAUGCUGCUAAAUUACUGAUCCAAGGUACCUUUAUAGUUGUACCUUAUAAUGUUGUCUGAAGUCUCAAUGCAGCACAUAAUAUGAUUGAAUGCGAGGCAUGAAUCUUAGCGGAGGCCAGAAGCGAAGAAUUCAGAUAGGCCGAUCAUUGCUUCAAGAUGCUGAGAUCUGUUUGUUCGAUAAUCCAUUCAGUGCAGUUGACACUCAUACAUUAUCCCACCUUUUCAAGGAAUGCUUGCUUGGGGCUUUUCUUAAAAAACAGUGGUUCAUGUCUCUCACCAGAUUGAAUGCCUGCCUGCAUAUGAUCUUAUUUUGGUACUGAAAGGCGAGAGAAUAGCACAAGCAGGCAAAUACAACGAUAUACUUAGUUCAGGUGAGGAGCUAAUGGAAACUGUUGGCGCUCACCAAGAUUCUCUAACAACAUUGGAUGUAUUGAUGUAGCUAAUGGAGGCAAUUAGACAUUCUAUCAGCCUAUUCAGGUCAUUGUCAUCGGUUUUAGAGAAAGAUGAACAAAAUGACAAAGAAGACGGUGACAAGAUUCAAAGUGCUCAGGUGGUGCAUGAAAAAAGGAAAAAGGCCGGGUGGGGUUCUAGGUCUACUGGAAGAACCUCAGAUUGGCUUAAGGGGGAGCUCUUGUACCGUUCGUGUUGAUAGCACAAUUACUUCUCCAAGUACGCCAAAUUGAUAACAAUUAUUGGAUGGCCUGGGCUUCUCCUGUGUCCAAAGACGCCGAGCCUCCAGUGAGCACGUCGACACUGAUCUAUGUCUUUGUGGCAUUGGUUGUUGCAAGUUCGAUGGGCAUACUCGCAAGGUCAUUUUUUUUUUCUGUGACAGCUACAUACAAAACAACUCUGUUGUUCAACAAGAAGCACAUGGCCAUAUUCAGAGCUACUGUGUCUUUCUUCGAUUCCACUCGAAGUGGGGGCAUCUUGAAUAGAGUGGACGAGGAGGAGGCAGAGCAAGAGACGAGAGCCAUCGGCAAGGAAGGGACACAGAUCCAGUUUUUCCAGCGUCGCCUCAUCAUCGCCUCUUGCUGGAUCAGCACCAGUGACUUCCUCGUUGAUAGACAUCGGCCAGGGCAAGUUCAGGGGAGGCGGUUCCUGGGCUGGUCAGCUGACAUCCACGGCGGCGGCGGCCUGAGAGAGAGCCAUCAGGGAAGGAAGCUGUAAGGCCUUCCACUAUGUAGGCCAUAAUCGGUGCCAAAU
This is a long non-coding RNA of Triticum aestivum (bread wheat), 1584 nucleotides long. RefSeq lists it as uncharacterized. The transcript is spliced from 4 exons. The record is from RefSeq and is a predicted model, not a curated record. Lineage: Eukaryota; Viridiplantae; Streptophyta; Magnoliopsida; Poales; Poaceae.